This 420-nucleotide ribosomal RNA is filed under the name uncultured bacterium. RNAcentral describes it as "bacterial SSU rRNA". It matches the Rfam family "Bacterial small subunit ribosomal RNA", at positions 355 to 773 of the family's 1533-position model. The record is from RNAcentral.
UAAGGAAUAUUGGUCAAUGGACGCAAGUCUGAACCAGCCAUGCCGCGUGAAGGAUGAAGGUCCUCUGGAUUGUAAACUCCUUUUAUCUGGGACGAAAACGGGAUUUUUAUCUCAAUUGACGGUACCAGAGGAAUAAGCACCGGCUAACUCCGUGCCAGCAGCCGCGGUAAUACGGAGGGUGCGAGCGUUAUCCGGAUUUACUGGGUUUAAAGGGUGCGUAGGUGGGCCUAUAAGUCAGUGGUGAAAUCUCCGAGCUUAACUUGGAAACUGCCGUUGAUACUAUAGGUCUUGAAUUAUCUGGAGGUAAGCGGAAUAUGUCAUGUAGCGGUGAAAUGCUUAGAUAUGACAUAGAACACCAAUAGCGAAGGCAGCUUACUACAUAUAAAUUGACGCUGAGGCACGAAAGCGUGGGGAUCAAAC